This 486-nucleotide ribosomal RNA is filed under the name uncultured bacterium. RNAcentral's name for it is "bacterial SSU rRNA". It matches the Rfam family "Bacterial small subunit ribosomal RNA", at positions 28 to 523 of the family's 1533-position model. The record is from RNAcentral.
GACGAACGCUGGCGGCGUGCUUAACACAUGCAAGUCGAACGGUGACGAGGAGCUUGCUCCUCCGAUCAGUGGCGAACGGGUGAGUAACACGUGAGUAACCUGCCCCAGACCCUGGGAUAACAGUUGGAAACAGCUGCUAAUACCGGAUACGAGACGGAGAGGCAUCUCUACCGUCUGGAAAGAUUUAUCGGUCUGGGAUGGACUCGCGGCCUAUCAGCUUGUUGGUGAGGUAAAGGCUCACCAAGGCGACGACGGGUAGCCGGCCUGAGAGGGCGACCGGCCACACUGGGACUGAGACACGGCCCAGACUCCUACGGGAGGCAGCAGUGGGGAAUAUUGCACAAUGGGCGAAAGUCUGAUGCAGCGACGCCGCGUGAGGGAUGACGGCCUUCGGGUUGUAAACCGUACUUUCUAGCAGGAGAAGCGAAAGUGACGGUACCUGCAGAAGAAGCACCGGCGUAACUACGUAGCCAGCAGCCGCGGUAA